UGGUUUAAAACGUAUCAAUUUACCCCCCUGUGGUUUCAUUUUUAUCUUUUCGGAAGCUUUUUCGUUAAUAUUUCGUUAAAUUAUGUACAAAAAACUUCAGAUAACCAUCUAUAUUUAUCGAAUAGUCACUUUAGUAUCCUUUAAUUUUAACUUUGUCACUGAUUUUAAAAAAUAAUAAUAAUAAAAUUGAUAACAAAAAGAUAAAAA
This 207-nucleotide long non-coding RNA is filed under the name Ananas comosus (pineapple). RNAcentral's name for it is "long non-coding RNA (ACOM_LNC043939)". Lineage: Eukaryota; Viridiplantae; Streptophyta; Magnoliopsida; Poales; Bromeliaceae. The record is from RNAcentral.